CUGCUAGCACCAAACUCAGGCUGAAGCUGAGAACCACAGAGCUCAGACACGCAAGGGCAAGGUCCUAGAGGUCGGGCUUGUUUGGCUGUGGGGCCAGUUUGGCAUGGUGACCAGGCAGAAGUGGAAUGCAAGUCAUGGCUCAAAAAGAAUCAGGAAUGGAAGGUAUAUGCUGACCAAGUCUGCAGCAUCCCACCAGCAAGGUGUCAAAGGAGGAGUGAUGCCCAAACCCAAAAUGAACCAGGAUUUCAGGUGAGAGAAGAUGGAGCAAAAAGGAGAGUGAGAUUCUGGCCAUUCUGCUGCUGCCCAGAAGAGAAACAUCAUAAGACACCCUUGCAUCUUGCAUUGUAAUCACUAGUAUUUAAUAUUUCUCUCAACUCAUAAUUUUGGAAUUUCUACAGUUACAAUAAAAUUUUACUGCAGUGAAAUGAAAUAAAACAAGAAUAAUAAAAUGCCCAAAGCCAAGAUUAUUUUUCAGAAACCACUUUCCAAAGUGUGUUGAAUAUUUGGUACUUUAAAAAGACCACAUCAU
Molecule: long non-coding RNA, 529 nt
Organism: Sorex fumeus (smoky shrew)
Lineage: Eukaryota; Metazoa; Chordata; Mammalia; Eulipotyphla; Soricidae
Exons: 3
Source: RefSeq, a predicted model, not a curated record